UACGUAUGGUGCAAGCGUUAUCCGGAUUUACUGGGUGUAAAGGGAGCGUAGGCGGCGCGUUAAGUCUGAUGUGAAAACCCGAGGCUCAACCACGGGAGUGCAUUGGAAACUGGCGGGCUGGAGUGCCGGAGAGGUAAGCGGAAUUCCUAGUGUAGCGGUGAAAUGCGUAGAUAUUAAGAGGAACAUCAGUGGCGAAGGCGGCUUACUGGACGGCAACUGACGCUGAGGCUCGAAAGCGUGGGGAGCAAACAGG
RNAcentral lists this ribosomal RNA (253 nucleotides) under uncultured bacterium. RNAcentral describes it as "partial 16S ribosomal RNA". It matches the Rfam family "Bacterial small subunit ribosomal RNA", at positions 524 to 776 of the family's 1533-position model. The record is from RNAcentral.